Molecule: non-coding RNA, 3721 nt
Organism: Equus caballus (horse)
Lineage: Eukaryota; Metazoa; Chordata; Mammalia; Perissodactyla; Equidae
Source: RefSeq, a predicted model, not a curated record
CCCACACGCCCCGGGCCUGCCAGGGAGCCACCUCUCUGACAGGCAAGGCCCAUCAUGUCUCUGGCCAGUGGCAGGAUGGUAAAGGCCAUGUGUCUGAGCAGCGGCUGCUGCCUAAUUUGUGGCCUUUUUACCUCUUCCUCCCACCCCCACCCCGACACCCACACGCGUGGCCGGGGCACUGCAUUCUGGGGUCAGGAGGUGGCAGAGCCUCAGCCAGCACAGCCAUGAGGGGCAGCUGUGGGCUGAGGGGCAGCUCAGAUGGGGUGUCCGUUCAGAUUUGGGGUAUUUCCUCCUGCACCCAGGGCUGGCCUCCUGUGGGGCUUCUGGAUGGAGUAAAGGGACCCAAGGAAGUCACAUCUGGCUGGCAGGUCCCAUUUUCUGAGGGCAACGUCAAGAGGCCCAGAUGGCCAUUGGGUCCACCCUGACAUCUUGAAGGGUCUGGGCGAGGAAAUCCUCAGGUUGGGACAGCUGUGUCCAGGGUUGAGAUCCACAAGGGGCCUGGGGCCAGGGCGCCGUGUGCUGACUCACGCUGGGGAGGGGCUCCCUCCUCUCCCUCCCCUGCGGGCCUGGGGGCACUGUCCCAGCUCUGGAGCCCCCAUCCUGUCAGGCUGAGAGGGAGGUGACGUGGCCUUUGUGCCUGGCCCUGCCAGGCUGGGGCGUGGCUGCUUGGUGUUGGGGUCUCCCCGGAGUAUGGCGGGCAGAGGGCCGUGGGGUCAGUCCCGGCGCGCCACGCUGGCUCCUGAUGCGGAGCACCAGCUAUUCCCAGAACAUUCUGGAGUUCGGGCCACCAUGAUGACGUUCCAUCAGGAGCAGCUCUCCAAGUCCAGCUGUUUGGUGGUAGCUCAGCCCCACCUCUGGGUGCCAGGGGAAAGGCUGGCCCCACCCAGGGCACGGGCGAACGCCGCCCUCCACUCCGUGGCAGCUGCGUAGUGCCAUCUCCAUCUGAGUUUUGCUGCAUCCGUGCACUUCUGUGCCCAGUACCCCCAGGGCCACGCCCAGCAGAGUGAGGGAGGAAGGAGUGGAGGCUUCUGUUUCCAGGCCAAGCCCCGCCGCCGGCCUGGGGUGCAGUCUGUGCAAACCCCAGGCCCCUGCACUGCCAGGAUGGCGGGGAGCUCACUCGGAGCCUUUCCUUAGUGUUGAGCUCUGGGAGGCAGGAACCCCGUCUGCCGUCUCUUUGUCUGUGCUCAAGCCCGAGUGUUGUAAAGACCCCAGGACGUCCGGACGCCUGGGAGGCAUUUUAAUGAGCUUUUCAGAGCCUCUGCUGGUGCAUUUUCUUAAGAAAACAGGAAGGUGGGUAGCUGGGAGGAAACCCCCGCUGGCCCCCCAGGAAGCCGCGUGCUGGGGAGCAGCCUGACGCUCCUUCAGACCCGCAAGGGCCAGGCACUGCAGGCGCCCUCUGUGCCCCUGAGCAGAUGGGGGGGGGGGAGGGGGAGCCUCCAGGCCUUGCUGCCCCCUCCUCCCCCCUCCCCACACCGUGGGCACUGCCUCUAGGCCCCGCCACCAGCCAUCACCCCACCACAGCCACAGCCCCCUGGCUAAAGGUGCCCUGCCCUGCCUGGGGGGAGAGCAGGCUGCAGGACCUGGCAGAGUGAGAGAGCCCGUGGCCGCGUGGGGCCGCUUCAAAGGCUGAGAGGCAGAGCUGCACCCAGAUCAGGGACCAGCAAGUGCAUGGGCUGGAGAGGGCAGCGCUUGGCCGCACCAGGGAGGGCCAGCGUUGGGAUCUGUCCCGGCUGCAGCAGAGGGGACAGACUCAGAGUGUUCUGACGCAGGUGGGGGGAUGCGAGGAUGCAGGAGACCCAGGAGCAGGUGCUGUGUGUGCCCAGGCGGGAGGCCGUGGUGACUUGCGCCUGAGUGGCAGCUGCAGCAGGUGAGGAGCAGAGCGUUCAGAGCACGAUUCAGCGCCUGGCCAGCUCCUAGGGCUUAGGCCGAGCCCCUGGCUGGCGGGGAGGGAGGGUGCUGGCUCUGGGCUCUUGGGGGUCUGGUCUGGAGGGCAUGUCAGGCACCAGCCUCCUGGGAGCACCAAGCCCUGGGCAAGGGCAGUGCGUAGGGAAGGGGAUCAUGGGGUGCCUCGGCCCCAACUCACUGCCCAGCUGGGGGCCCUGCCCUGCGCCAUCUCUGUUUGCAGUAAACAUGCAUUCUGCAUGUGGUCAGCUGGUGAGAGGACAGAGACAGGGCCCAUGGCCCUGGCAGGAAGCAGAGGCCGAAGUGAGGGGCUGGCCACUGCACAGCAGCAGGCGGGAAUGCAGGCGUGAGGCUGGGCCCAGUGUCCGAUGGCCUUUGUCGGCCCCUGAGGCCCGAGGCUGUCCAGCUCAGCUCAGAGGAAGGCAGGCUGGGUGGGCCCCAGGGCAGGACCCUCCCUGGGUGGCAGAUAGCUGUUGGGGUGGUCCAUGAUAUGCACAAGGACACCGAAAGGCCUGCACGAUGGGGCCAGGAUGGCAGAGAGGGGGUCUCUGAGAAGCCAGGGUUUCUGAAUUGGAACCUGGCCUUGGUUACCACGGAGGUGUCUUGGGCAGGGCGGGACCGAAUUCGCUCCACGUCAGCAGACUGCCAGUGUUAGUGCUUAGGUGGGAGGCAAGGUCGCCACCGUGGUUCACAGGCCACAGACUCUGUCACCGUGAGCAGAGGCAGCUCAAGUUCCGUCGUGUCUGCACCAGGGCUGGGUAGCCUCAGGCUACGUCCCACCACCUGCUCCCCUAGCCCCCAGCCAUGCGUUCUCAGCCGAAACCCAGGAGCUCAGCCUGGGCAGCGGCCAGGAACUCUGACCACCAGCCCUGCACACCAGUGGGCCCCUCUCCCAACCCGAUGCCUGGAGAGAAGCUGUUCUCAGGGCCGGCCAAGGUGGACCUGAGGCCCUCCCAUAGGUGGACACCAAGAAGCCCAGCAAAGGUGCUUCACGGACACCCAAGGUGGUGCCUGAGGCUCAGCACAGUGGCUGGCCAGCUCCUGCAUCUGCAGAUCUCUGCUCCGCCCACAGACCCCUGCUCUGCCACCAUAGGCUACAGUGAGGGCGGGCCUGGAGCAUAAGCCCGACUGGGCAUCAGAAGGUGCUGGCCGCUGGCCAGCAGAGAGCAGCACACUUAGGAAUGACCCCAAGAGAGCCUGUCCUGUGCCCCCAGCGGGCCUGAGCACUCUGGAUGCUGGCUCUGAGCCGUCACUGCCCCCGGCCCAGGCCAGAGCUGGCCACCUCCCUGGAGAGCUCCGGCCGCCAAGCUGUUUCCAUUCUCUUUUCCUUCCUUCUGCUAUUUUGGUGCUUUUCCCGAGGGGAAGCCCUUGACACACGGAGCGUUCCCAGAGAGAGCCACUGCUGUUGGUUGGCGGGUCGGGUACAGCUCGGGCCGUGAGCGGAGACGGAGAGGGCCGGGGUCUGUGCUUCGCCCCGGCGCCCAGCACCUGACCCCGAGCAGCACUGACGCUCCACGUGGCGUGUGCCCUGGGCGCUGGGAUCCGCCUCUGGAGCAUCAGCUCGUGAGGAUGGAGACCCUCUCAAGGCCAGGAGCCACGUGGGAGCCUCUGUGGGCAGGGAGAGGGCCCAUGGGUGCCCUGGGGCCCAGUGUUGAGGGGCCAUGGGUCUCUCAUUGUGACCCCUGAAGCUGGUGACCUGGGCCUGGGAUUGUCCAUCAGGAACGUACGCCAAGAGGACGUUCCCAGUGCCGUCCACCAUGGGAAAAUAUUUUAUCAUAGAAAUGUGAGUUUAAAAAAAAGCCUAAACAAGAACCCCUGA